UCCGAGUUGACCCCGGCAGUCUCCGAUGAGUCCCCGGCAUAACCCGCUGGCAACAUCGGAUAAGGGUUGCGCUCGUUGCGGGACUUAACCCAACACCUCACGGCACGAGCUGACGACAGCCAUGCAGCACCUGUACACGCUCCCUUGCGGGUCGGUCACCUUUCGGAUCCCUACCACGUGUAUGUCAAGCCCAGGUAAGGUUCUUCGCGUUGCAUCGAAUUAAACCACAUGCUCCACCGCUUGUGCGGGCCCCCGUCAAUUUCUUUGAGUUUUAACCUUGCGGCCGUACUCCCCAGGCGGGGUACUUAACGCGUUAGCUUCGGCACUGAAGGGGUCAAUACCUCCAACACCAAGUACCCAUCGUUUACGGCGUGGACUAC
Molecule: unclassified non-coding RNA, 380 nt
Filed under: uncultured bacterium
Lineage: Bacteria
Description: contains 16S-23S intergenic spacer region
Source: RNAcentral